GCUAUUUUGGCAGAUUAGUGCAAUAAGUUUAGAAUUUAUUUAUGUAAUAUAGAUUACAGAUAGCA
Molecule: transfer RNA, 65 nt
Filed under: Cimex lectularius (bed bug)
Lineage: Eukaryota; Metazoa; Arthropoda; Insecta; Hemiptera; Cimicidae
Description: tRNA-Leu
Source: RNAcentral